Molecule: ribosomal RNA, 301 nt
Filed under: uncultured bacterium
Lineage: Bacteria
Description: partial 16S ribosomal RNA
Rfam family: Bacterial small subunit ribosomal RNA
Source: RNAcentral
CAGUCGCCGCGGUAAUACGAAGGGUGCAAGCGUUAAUCGGAAUUGCUGGGCGUAAAGCGUGCGCAGGCGGUUAUAUAAGACAGAUGUGAAAUCCCGGGCUCAACCUGGGACCUGCAUUUGAGACUGUAUAGCUAGAGUACGGUAGAGGGGGAUGGAAUUCCGCGUGUAGCAGUGAAAUGCGUAGAUAUGCGGAGGAACACCGAUGGCGAAGGCAAUCCCCUGGACCUGUACUGACGCUCAUGCACGAAAGCGUGGGGAGCAAACAGGAUUAGAUACCCCAGUAGUCCCUGUCUCUUAUACA